GGGACAACAGCCAGAAAUGGCUGCUAAUACCGCAUAAGCCUGCGGUGCCGCAUGGCACAGCAGGGAAAACCACGGUGGUACAGGAUGGGCCCGCGUCUGAUUAGUUAGUUGGCAGGGUAACGGCCUACCAAGACGAUGAUCAGUAGCCGGCUUGAGAGAGUGGACGGCCACAUUGGGACUGAGACACGGCCCAGACUCCUGCGGGAGGCAGCAGUGGGGAAUAUUGCACAAUGGGGGAAACCCUGAUGCAGCAAUGCCGCGUGGGUGAAGAAGCACUCCGGUGCGUAAAGCCCUGUCAGCAGGGAAGAAAAUGACAGUACCUGACCAAGAAGCCCCGGCUAACUACGUGCCAGCAGCCGCGGUAAUACGUAGGGGGCAAGCGUUAUCCGGAUUUACUGGGUGUAAAGGGAGCGCAGGCGGUAUGGCAAGUCAGAUGUGAAAACCCAGGGCUCAACCCUGGGACUGCAUUUGAAACUGCCAUACUGGAGUGCCGGAGAGGUAAGUGGAAUUCCUAGUGUAGCGGUGAAAUGCGUAGAUAUUAGGAGGAACACCAGUGGCGAAGGCGGCUUACUGGACGGUAACUGACGCUGAGGCUCGAAAGCGUGGGGAGCAAACAGGAUUAGAUACCCUGGUAGUCCACGCUGUAAACGAU
This 652-nucleotide ribosomal RNA is filed under the name uncultured bacterium. RNAcentral describes it as "bacterial SSU rRNA". It matches the Rfam family "Bacterial small subunit ribosomal RNA", at positions 140 to 810 of the family's 1533-position model. The record is from RNAcentral.